RNAcentral lists this ribosomal RNA (465 nucleotides) under uncultured bacterium. RNAcentral describes it as "partial 16S ribosomal RNA". It matches the Rfam family "Bacterial small subunit ribosomal RNA", at positions 28 to 507 of the family's 1533-position model. The record is from RNAcentral.
GACGAACGCUGGCGGCGUGCUUAACACAUGCAAGUCGAACGGAAAGGCCCUGCUUGCAGGGUACUCGAGUGGCGAACGGGUGAGUAACACGUGGGUGAUCUGCCCUGCACUUCGGGAUAAGCCUGGGAAACUGGGUCUAAUACCGGAUAGGAGCCAUUUUUAGUGUGAGGGUUGGAUAGUUUUUUCGGUGUGGGAUGAGCUCGCGGCCUGUCAGCUUGUUGGUGGGGUAAUGGCCUACCAAGGCGGCGACGGGUAGCCGGCCUGAGGGGGUGGACGGCCACAUUGGGACUUAGAAACGGCCCAGAAGCCUACGGGGGGCAGCAAGGGGGAAUAUUGCACCAUGGGCACAAGCCUGAUGCAGCGACGCCGCGUGGGGGAUGACAGGCUUCGGGUUGUAAACUCCGUUCGCUAGGGACGAAGCUUUUUGUGACGGUACCUGGAUAAGAAGCACCGGCUAACUACGUG